GACGAACGCUGGCGGCGUGCUUAACACAUGCAAGUCGAACGGAAAGGCCCUGCUUUUGUGGGGUGCUCGAGUGGCGAACGGGUGAGUAACACGUGAGUAACCUGCCCUUGACUUUGGGAUAACUUCAGGAAACUGGGGCUAAUACCGGAUAGGAGCUCCUGCUGCAUGGUGGGGGUUGGAAAGUUUCGGCGGUUGGGGCUGGACUCGCGGCUUAUCAGCUUGUUGGUGGGGUAGUGGCUUACCAAGGCUUUGACGGGUAGCCGGCCUGAGAGGGUGGCCGGCGACAAUGGGACUGAGGUACGGCCCAGACUCCUACGGGAGGCAGCAGUGGGGAAUAUUGCACAAUAGGCGGAAGCCUGAUGCAGCAACGCCGCGUGCGGGAUGACGGCCUUCGGGUUGUAAACCGCUUUCGCCUGUGACGAAGCGUGAGUGACGGUAAUGGGUAAAGAAGCACCGGCUAACUACGUG
RNAcentral lists this ribosomal RNA (468 nucleotides) under uncultured bacterium. RNAcentral describes it as "partial 16S ribosomal RNA". It matches the Rfam family "Bacterial small subunit ribosomal RNA", at positions 28 to 507 of the family's 1533-position model. The record is from RNAcentral.